AUUCGAGCGAAAGCGAGAAAGCGUUGCCGCAGGCAACGACCCGAAGGGCGAAGCGCGCAGCGCUGAGUAAUCCUUCCCCCACCACCA
RNAcentral lists this small RNA (87 nucleotides) under Salmonella enterica. RNAcentral's name for it is "partial RtT sRNA". It matches the Rfam family "RtT RNA", at positions 46 to 130 of the family's 130-position model. Rfam says of the family: This family represents a bacterial cis-regulatory element known as RtT RNA. The exact function of RtT is unknown although it is thought that it may be involved in changing the cellular response in relation to amino acid starvation. Lineage: Bacteria; Pseudomonadati; Pseudomonadota; Gammaproteobacteria; Enterobacterales; Enterobacteriaceae. RNAcentral also lists the same sequence under 2 other names. The record is from RNAcentral.